RNAcentral lists this ribosomal RNA (469 nucleotides) under uncultured bacterium. RNAcentral describes it as "bacterial SSU rRNA". It matches the Rfam family "Bacterial small subunit ribosomal RNA", at positions 28 to 507 of the family's 1533-position model. The record is from RNAcentral.
GAUGAACGCUGGCGGCGUGCUUAACACAUGCAAGUCGAACGAAGAUGCCGGAGUGCUUGCACUUUGGCAGACUGAGUGGCGGACGGGUGAGUAACGCGUGGGUAACCUGCCUUAUACAGGGGGAUAACAGUUGGAAACGGCUGCUAAUACCGCAUAAGCGCACAGUACCGCAUGGUACAGUGUGAAAAACUCCGGUGGUGUGAGAUGGACCCGCGUCUGAUUAGCUAGUUGGCAGGGCAACGGCCUACCAAGGCGACGAUCAGUAGCCGACCUGAGAGGGUGACCGGCCACAUUGGGACUGAGACACGGCCCAAACUCCUACGGGAGGCAGCAGUGGGGAAUAUUGCACAAUGGGGGAAACCCUGAUGCAGCAACGCCGCGUGAGUGAAGAAGUAUUUCGGUAUGUAAAGCUCUAUCAGCAGGGAAGAAAAUGACGGUACCUGACUAAGAAGCCCCGGCUAACUACGUG